RNAcentral lists this long non-coding RNA (934 nucleotides) under Coffea arabica (coffee). Its description in RNAcentral is "long non-coding RNA (CARA_LNC002794)". Lineage: Eukaryota; Viridiplantae; Streptophyta; Magnoliopsida; Gentianales; Rubiaceae. The record is from RNAcentral.
AGUCAUAACACAUGAAUACAUCAAUAAGUUUUGAUAGUUUUGAUACAUCUCAACACCGGAGAAAAAGUCAAGCCAAACCAAAAACAACUAAAACAAUUGAACACUCUAGCCAAGCAAAAAAAAAACUAAAACAAUUGGACUCCUUCAUCAACUGAAGCCAAUGUUUUAAAACUAGGACCAGUGAGCGACCCCGAUUGAGUUAUCGGUUCUGAUUUUUUCCAGUUCAACUGAUUUAACUGGCCGGGUCAACGGUUCAAUAUUUUUAUAUUUAUUUUUUAAAAUUACAAAUUCUAAGAAAUAAUUUCAAUCACCAUCAAUGACCCCAUCUGCAGUAGUAAUACAAUCUAUGGUGACAAGUGUAUAACAUCAACAUCCCAUAUUUAUCCUCAUGAUUUACAAAGAAAAAUCACAUUAAACAAUUUUGUAGAAAUCAGCCAUUAAUUGUCCUCUUCACCAAAACCAAAAAAAAAAAAAGAAUUUAAGUACAUAGAAAUAAAUUUCAAAUUUUUUGACGAGAGGUUUCAAACUCCCCAAAACACAAACGAAGAAAUAAGAAAAGAGCGAAAAAAAACCAACAUCUAAUUGAGAAUGGCCUUUGAUCGAAGUUGGAUGUGCAUCUCCACCGCCACCACAUUGAACACCACCAGAUCUGGUGAGAUUGGUCUUGGAACGCAACAGUGAUUGACAAAACACUUUGAUCCUUGAUACCUAAGCAUAUAGUGUAGAUCUUCUUUUAGGUAUCUUUUGCUGCUAAUGAUGAUGUAGCUAAUUUUCUUCUUGGUCUUGUUCGAGAAGAUAGAGAAAAAUUUUGACGUUGGAUUCUAUGGUCUUCGCCUUGAAUGACGUGAAUGAAACCAAGAUGAGAGAUUGAGGUUUAAAAGAUGAAGAUAUAAUUGUUGGACUUAUCCUAGAUGCUUUAGACUUCAAUAAGAUA